GUGGUUAUAGUUCAAUGGUAGAAACAACUAUUUGUGGCAUAGUUAAUUUGAGUUCAAUUCUCAAUAACCGCC
RNAcentral lists this transfer RNA (72 nucleotides) under Clonostachys rosea f. rosea IK726. It matches the Rfam family "tRNA". From Rfam's summary of the family: Transfer RNA (tRNA) molecules are approximately 80 nucleotides in length. Their secondary structure includes four short double-helical elements and three loops (D, anti-codon, and T loops). The record is from RNAcentral. Lineage: Eukaryota; Fungi; Ascomycota; Sordariomycetes; Hypocreales; Bionectriaceae.